UAAGGAAUAUUGGUCAAUGGACGCAAGUCUGAACCAGCCAUGCCGCGUGAAGGAUGAAGGUCCUCUGGAUUGUAAACUUCUUUUAUCUGGGACGAAACCGGGAUUUUUAUCUCAAUUGACGGUACCAGAGGAAUAAGCACCGGCUAACUCCGUGCCAGCAGCCGCGGUAAUACGGAGGGUGCGAGCGUUAUCCGGAUUUACUGGGUUUAAAGGGUGCGUAGGUGGGCUUAUAAGUCAGUGGUGAAAUCUCCGAGCUUAACUUGGAAACUGCCGUUGAUACUAUAGGUCUUGAAUUAUCUGGAGGUAAGCGGAAUAUGUCAUGUAGCGGUGAAAUGCUUAGAUAUGACAUAGAACACCAAUUGCGAAGGCAGCUUACUACAUAUAAAUUGACGCUGAGGCACGAAAGCGUGGGGAUCAAACA
RNAcentral lists this ribosomal RNA (421 nucleotides) under uncultured bacterium. RNAcentral's name for it is "bacterial SSU rRNA". It matches the Rfam family "Bacterial small subunit ribosomal RNA", at positions 355 to 774 of the family's 1533-position model. The record is from RNAcentral.